ACAGGAUGAGACUCCAUUUAAAAAAAAAAAAGAGGAUGACAACACUGCCUGUCUCACUGGAAUCUUGUAAGGAUUAAAUGGUUACUGUUUUUAACGUAGUUGGAAGAGUUUGUGGUCCUGUGUUUGUUAAAUAUACACAAAUUAACUUCCCAGCUCACCCAUGCCUAGUAUUAUGCAAGGGGCUUCACAUCAAUUACCUUGUUUGGUCUUCACCACAGCCACAUGAGCUUGGAAUGACUAUUAUUAGGGAAAGUGGACCCAAGAAGGUCAAGUUCCUUGCCUGAGGUCACACAGCUAGUAAAAGGCAGAGCAAAGGUUGAAACUCAGGAUGGUCUGUCUCCAGGACCGGGGCUCUCCACCACUCGGGCCUGCCUAUUCCAGGGCUGGCAGCCUCUCUACAGAGGUGAAGCGUCUACUGGAUCACUUUUGACCAACAACACAUCAGCCGGCAGAGGAAGGAGGGGUGGGCCAAGAAGGGCCCCUUCCCUCUCAGGCCGGAGAGAUUCCUCUGACUAAUUUGCUGAGUGACUUCGAUGGCAAACUGCAGCCCUGUUCCCUCCAGCUGAGACUCCUCCGUCUUGCUCAUGACUGGGUCCCCUGGGCAGAGCCAGGUCCUGGCAGAGAGCAGAUAUCCAGUAAAUACCUCUUGGCCCUAAGAAUGACUGGGAACACUCAUGUAGCGAGAACACCUUCCUGUGUGUUAUCUCAUCUCAUCCUCACAGCAGCCCAGAGAGCGACCGCAGGUGCACACAGAUCUGAGGGCCUGAUCUGUUCCACUCUCUUUAUGCCAAACAGAGGAGGGACGCGAACCCCAGCAUGAAACGGCACCCACAACCACAAGGCCCGGUGUGCGCCCUCUGAAACCGUAGAUGAGGAAAAUGAGGCUCAUGCCACAUGCCUGAGAUCACACAGCUCAUAAGGGCUGGAGCCAGGAUUGAACCUUAGGGCUUAAAAAGCCUGGGACCUCUGCACCACUCCACCUCGACUUAUUUAUCCUGGUCACAAAGCACUGGAGGACUGCUCAGGCCCGUGGCCACUCUUCCCUCACUGGAGCAUUCCCAGCCUCUGCUAAGUGUCUGUCCUCUGGGUCUCUCUUGUCUCCCUCUCUGGACUCUGAGUCCUACAGGCCAGAGACUGCAUCCUGUCUGCUCCACACCCUAGCCUGGCACAUAGUUGCUUUUGGUAAGUCCUUGCCAGUUGAAGGCUCAUAGUGGAGACAUCUGUGCAGAGGGGUACCACGGCCAGCUGAGGCCUGGAAGUCUGGAGCCUGGACAUUCCAGAGCUCUUUGACGUAGCGCUUAGAGCACAGAAGUACAGUUUUCCCCACUGACCACAAACUUGGUCAUGAUUCUUCUAACCAUGCAGGAUAAUGCGACAUUUAAAAGCAUAGGCUUGGCUGGGCACAGUGGCUCAUGCCUGUAAUCCCAGCACUUUGGGAGGCCAAGGCUGGCGAAUCACUUGAG
Molecule: long non-coding RNA, 1463 nt
Filed under: Homo sapiens (human)
Lineage: Eukaryota; Metazoa; Chordata; Mammalia; Primates; Hominidae
Description: HSALNT0329614
Source: RNAcentral